UACGGGGGGGGCAAGCGUUGUUCGGAAUUACUGGGCGUAAAGGGCGCGUAGGCGGCCCUCCUUGUCGCGUGUGAAAGCCCCGGGCUCAACCUGGGAACGGCGCGCGAGACGGGGGGGCUGGAGUUCGGGAGAGGAGCGUGGAAUUCCCAGUGUAGAGGUGAAAUUCGUAGAUAUUGGGAAGAACACCGGUGGCGAAGGCGGCUCUCUGGUCCACAACUGACGCUGAGGUGCGAAAGCUAGGGGAGCAAACGGG
Molecule: ribosomal RNA, 253 nt
Filed under: uncultured bacterium
Lineage: Bacteria
Description: partial 16S ribosomal RNA
Rfam family: Bacterial small subunit ribosomal RNA
Source: RNAcentral